RNAcentral lists this ribosomal RNA (454 nucleotides) under uncultured bacterium. RNAcentral describes it as "bacterial SSU rRNA". It matches the Rfam family "Bacterial small subunit ribosomal RNA", at positions 340 to 786 of the family's 1533-position model. The record is from RNAcentral.
UACGGGAGGCAGCAGUGGGGAAUAUUGCACAAUGGGCGCAAGCCUGAUGCAGCCAUGCCGCGUGUAUGAAGAAGGCCUUCGGGUUGUAAAGUACUUUCAGUCGUGAGGAAGGUGUUAAGGUUAAUAACCUUAGCAAUUGACGUUAGCGACAGAAGAAGCACCGGCUAACUCCGUGCCAGCAGCCGCGGUAAUACGGAGGGUGCGAGCGUUAAUCGGAAUUACUGGGCGUAAAGGGCACGCAGGCGGUUAAUUAAGUUGGAUGUGAAAUCCCCGGGCUUAACCUGGGAAUGGCAUUCAAGACUGGUUAGCUAGAGUCUUGUAGAGGGGGUUAGAAUUCCAUGUGUAGCGGUGAAAUGCGUAGAGAUGUGGAGGAAUACCGGUGGCGAAGGCGGCCCCUGGACAAAGGCUGACGCUCAUGUGCGAAAGCGUGGGGAGCAAACGAGGAUUAGAUACC